This 208-nucleotide non-coding RNA is filed under the name Exiguobacterium sp. RNAcentral's name for it is "T-box sequence". It matches the Rfam family "T-box leader". From Rfam's summary of the family: Uncharged tRNA acts as the effector for transcription antitermination of genes in the T-box leader family. T-boxes are found upstream of many aminoacyl-tRNA synthetase genes and some amino acid biosynthetic genes usually in Gram-positive bacteria. Lineage: Bacteria; Bacillati; Bacillota; Bacilli; Caryophanales. The record is from RNAcentral.
AAGAACAUUUGGAUGAAGACAAGUAAUUCAACUAUCCUUUUCCCCAGAGAGUCUACGGUGCUGCGAGUAGAUGAAAAGUUUUUGAAUGAAUGGACUUCGGAGUGGCUCGCUUGAACAACAGUAUGGCGAGACGGCUCACGCCCGUUAACGCGUUCAAGUGGCAUAUGAUAUGCAAAUUUGGGUGGCACCGCGGUUAUUCGUCCCGAUU